Molecule: ribosomal RNA, 253 nt
Filed under: uncultured bacterium
Lineage: Bacteria
Description: partial 16S ribosomal RNA
Rfam family: Bacterial small subunit ribosomal RNA
Source: RNAcentral
UACAGAGGGUGCGAGCGUUAAUCGGAAUUACUGGGCGUAAAGCGUGCGUAGACGGUUUCGUAAGUCGGGUGUGAAAUCCCCGGGCUCAACCUGGGAAUUGCAUUCGAAACUGCGAGGCUAGGGUACGGAAGAGGGAAGCGGAAUUUCUGGUGUAGCGGUGAAAUGCGUAGAUAUCAGAAGGAACAUCAGUGGCGAAAGCGGCUUCCUGGUCCAGUACUGACGCUGAUGUGCGAAAGCGUGGGGAGCAAACAGG